RNAcentral lists this ribosomal RNA (497 nucleotides) under Cipadessa baccifera. RNAcentral's name for it is "eukaryotic LSU rRNA". The stretch from base 5 to 160 matches the Rfam family "5.8S ribosomal RNA". Lineage: Eukaryota; Viridiplantae; Streptophyta; Magnoliopsida; Sapindales; Meliaceae. The record is from RNAcentral.
AAACGACUCUCGGCAACGGAUAUCUCGGCUCUCGCAUCGAUGAAGAACGUAGCGAAAUGCGAUACUUGGUGUGAAUUGCAGAAUCCCGUGAACCAUCGAGUCUUUGAACGCAAGUUGCGCCCCAAGCCGUUAGGCCGAGGGCACGUCUGCCUGGGUGUCACGCAUCGUUGCCCCCCAACCCCCUCUAAGGGAUCCGUUGGAUGGGCGGAAAAUGGCCUCCCGUGUGCUCCUCGUUCGCGGUUGGCCCAAAUCUGAGUCUUUCGGCGAGCGUGCCGCGACGAUCGGUGGUGAAACAUGCCUCUCGAGCUCCCGUCGCGUGCCUGCGUCUCCGUGUUACGGGCUCUAGGACCCUAGCGACGCCUUGUAUUUCGGGUGCUGCUCGCUCUGCGACCCCAGGUCAGGCGGGAUUACCCGCUGAAUUUAAGCAUAUCAAUAAGCGGAGGAAAAGAAACUUACCAGGAUUCCCCUAGUAACGGCGAGCGAACCGGGAAGAGCCC